AUAGCAACCAGCUGGGCUUCCUGCUGGAUAAACACAUGGAGCUGUUUGCUUUGUUAGAGAGGAGCAGGUCUACCCCAGAUGAGUAUCAGCUUUCAUAGAAUCACAGAAUGGGCUGGGUUGAAAAGGACCACAAUGACCACCGAAGAUGAGCAAUUCUGAAGAAAAUACCCAUCCCAUCUGAAACGUGAGCUCCAAAUAAGGAACACAGUCAACAAGUCCCUGUAAACUUCCAGAAAAGCACAAAUAAAGGAGCAGAUUUAAUGUUUAAAA
Phasianus colchicus (ring-necked pheasant) is the source of this 270-nucleotide long non-coding RNA. RefSeq lists it as uncharacterized. NCBI's taxonomy places the organism in Eukaryota, Metazoa, Chordata, Aves, Galliformes, Phasianidae. The record is from RefSeq and is a predicted model, not a curated record.